Long non-coding RNA from Gossypium arboreum, 370 nucleotides. RefSeq lists it as uncharacterized. The transcript is spliced from 3 exons. The record is from RefSeq and is a predicted model, not a curated record. Lineage: Eukaryota; Viridiplantae; Streptophyta; Magnoliopsida; Malvales; Malvaceae.
UAAAUGUUUCAUGAUAAUGUGUUAGGUAAAUGUUUCAUGAUAAUGGGUUAGUAAAUGUUUCAUGAUAAUGUGUUAGGUAAAUGUUUCAUGAUAAGAAUUUCAUGUCUUUUGUAUUAAAGAAUUAAAUGGAUGAAAUAUGAAGUUUUAUUAAAAGAAAAAGGGGUGAAAAGAACAAAGUUUUGUCCAUCUUUGUUCAUCAUAGCUGAAAGUUAGAGAAGAGAAAGGAGAGGAGAAAGCUCUUGAGUAUUUGGUCAUUAGGAGGAGGAAAAUUGAAGGAAGUUCGUGUGUGGAUCUCGUCAGCAUAUCGUCGCAAACAGGAAAUCCCCAACCAUAGUGGGCUUGGAGUCGUGAGGGAAUUCGGAGUGGCCAC